RNAcentral lists this ribosomal RNA (405 nucleotides) under uncultured bacterium. Its description in RNAcentral is "bacterial SSU rRNA". It matches the Rfam family "Bacterial small subunit ribosomal RNA", at positions 29 to 433 of the family's 1533-position model. The record is from RNAcentral.
AUUGAACGCUGGCGGCGUGCUUAACACAUGCAAGUCGAUCGGUAACAGGUGUAGCAAUACAUGCUGACGAGAGGCGGACGGGUGAGUAAUGCUUGGGAAUCUGCCUAUUAGUGGGGGACAACCCGGGGAAACUCGGGCUAAUACCGCAUACGCUCUACGGAGGAAAGCCGGGGACCGCAAGGCCUGGCGCUAAUAGAUGAGCCCAAGUCGGAUUAGCUAGUUGGUAGGGUAACGGCCUACCAAGGCGACAAUCCGUAGCUGGUCUGAGAGGACGACCAGCCACACCGGAACUGAGACACGGUCCGGACUCCUACGGGAGGCAGCAGUGGGGAAUAUUGGACAAUGGGGGCAACCCUGAUCCAGCGACGCCGCGUGGGUGAAGAAGGCCUGCGGGUUGUAAAGCCC